UGGGGAAUAUUGCACAAUGGGCGCAAGCCUGAUGCAGCCAUGCCGCGUGUAUGAAGAAGGCCUUCGGGUUGUAAAGUACUUUCAGCGGGGAGGAAGGUGUUGUGGUUAAUAACCACAGCAAUUGACGUUACCCGCAGAAGAAGCACCGGCUAACUCCGUGCCAGCAGCCGCGGUAAUACGGAGGGUGAAAGCGUUAAUCGGAAUUACUGGGCGUAAAGCGCACGCAGGCGGUCUGUCAAGUCGGAUGUGAAAUCCCCGGGCUCAACCUGGGAACUGCAUCCGAAACUGGCAGGCUUGAGUCUUGUAGAGGGGGGUAGAAUUCCAGGUGUAGCGGUGAAAUGCGUAGAGAUCUGGAGGAAUACCGGUGGCGAAGGCGGCCCCCUGGACAAAGACUGACGCUCAGGUGCGAAAGCGUGGGGAGCAAACA
RNAcentral lists this ribosomal RNA (427 nucleotides) under uncultured bacterium. Its description in RNAcentral is "partial 16S ribosomal RNA". It matches the Rfam family "Bacterial small subunit ribosomal RNA", at positions 355 to 774 of the family's 1533-position model. The record is from RNAcentral.